GCGGGCGUAGUUCAGCGGUAGAAUGUCUCGUUGCCAACGAGAAGGUCGUGGGUUCAAAUCCCAUCGCCCGCUCCA
This 75-nucleotide transfer RNA is filed under the name Elusimicrobia bacterium RIFOXYA1_FULL_47_7. RNAcentral's name for it is "tRNA-Gly". It matches the Rfam family "tRNA". From Rfam's summary of the family: Transfer RNA (tRNA) molecules are approximately 80 nucleotides in length. Their secondary structure includes four short double-helical elements and three loops (D, anti-codon, and T loops). RNAcentral also lists the same sequence under 6 other names. The record is from RNAcentral. Lineage: Bacteria; Pseudomonadati; Elusimicrobiota.